Molecule: long non-coding RNA, 3004 nt
Organism: Daphnia pulex (common water flea)
Lineage: Eukaryota; Metazoa; Arthropoda; Branchiopoda; Diplostraca; Daphniidae
Exons: 13
Source: RefSeq, a predicted model, not a curated record
GCAUCUUUAUCAAGCAGGUACAAUACCCGCAAGGCUUAGAAGGUGAGGGUGAGAAAAAAAAUUUGUAUAAAAGGAGAGAGAAAAGGAUACAGACAUCAGUUGGGUGAGCAUCACCGACACGGCAACAACUGCUGUGGACUGCCUGUACCAACUAGCUUCUUCAUCACAUUACCAGCUCGCAACAUUUGUUCGCAGUUAUUGUGUACCAAUUUCUUUUGGGUACGGAUACCAAACAUGCCGACGCCCUACUACACAACAACAGCAUACGCUUCAGCCGGUUAUUACACCAUCAAGGCUCCAGUGAAUUACACCACAACUUAUGAUGCCCCGACCUACUACACCGACGUCCUGAAUUAUAGUUAUCCUUCAGUUGCUGCAAGCAUUAACUGGCUUCGUGAUGCUGUUGAAUGCUAUAUCGUUGCUGGCUGAGUCGACCACUGGUGUACCGAUGUCCCCUGGGUAUGGCGGAUACCAAGCCGCAACGCUGCUGUCUUACUACACAACAACAUAGGUGACGACGUGUUACUACACCGUGCCGUCCAAUUACUACACCGAAAAGGCGGAAUAUUACACAAGGACGUAAGCUACCCCAGUUUACUACACCGAGGAAUCUGUGUAUUACUCUGCUCUGAGCUACAACAGUGGCUCAUGUUUACCACACCACCAUCGCAUCUGAAUGUUACAUGCAUACUACGCUGCCCUCAACUACUACACUGAAGCUUCGAAGUGGUACACCAUGAAUGAACAACCAAUUUGCAAGCAAGGUUAUUUGGUGAUGUGUUGCUGUUGAAUUUUGUAUCUUUGAUGCAUAUGACCGUUGGUGUCGUGAUUUUUCCUGGCAACGCUACUGUCUUGCUACAUAACAUACGUUACGACCUGUUACUACACCGGGACUUCCAACUAUUACACCGAAAAGGCUGAAUAUUACAUAAGUACAUGUGCUUCCCCAGUUUACUACAUCGAGUAACCUAAGCAUUGCUCUGCUCCCAGCUACAACAGAGGCACUGUUUACUACACCACCAUCGACCCCGAUUGUUACGCUGCCCCCAACCGCUACAUUGAAGCUCCGAAGUACUACACCAUUGAAGAUUACUAUGAAGUUGUGCUGCUGUUGGGUGUUGUAUCGUUGAUGGCUGGGUUUACCAUGAGUGUACCGAUGUCUCCUGGGUAUGGUGGUUUUCAAGUAUUAGCAGCUAUAGAAUAGAACACCAGGUUGCUGCCUCACUACUUAACAACAACAACAUACGCAACACCUACUCACUACACUGAUGCUCGUAAAUACUACACCUCCAAGGCUCCAAGAAUACUACACGGAUAUCUACGCAGCUCCGAGCUACUGAACGGAAGUAUCACUCUGCUCCGAGUUACAUUAACAAAACGUCUGAAUACUACAAUGAAGAUCUUAAAUACUACACCUCCAAAGGCUGUAGCUUAUUAAACUACCAAAUCGGUCGAGUACCGAGGGGGUCCAAGUACUACCCCUUAACCAACAACUGCCAUAAUCGGAUGAAAUGUUCGCAAUCAUGGUUAACUGUGGUGUUGUGCUUCCGGUCUAGGAUUGUAUCGUUGAAAGCUGGGUUGAUCAUUGGUGUGCUGAGGUCCCUGGAUAUGGCGGUGCAUCACUAAAGUGGUAAAGUGCAUCACCAAAGAGCCAGCAAAUUACAUCGAGGUUUUGAAGUACUACAACACUAAGGCACCGGAAUACUACACUACGCAUACUGCCCCUGCCUACUAAACCGGGGUCCUUAAUUACAACAACAACCGGCGACAAUUGCACUCUUCCUUUUCUCAAUGAAAGUUAACUGGCUUCGUGAUGCUGUUGAAUGCUAUAUCGUUGCUGGCUGAGUCGACCACUGGUGUACCGAUGUUUCCUGGGUAUGGCGGAUACCAAUCCGCGACACUGCUGUCUUACUACACAAGAACCUUUUGUAACGAUCUGUUACCACACCGGGACUUUCAACUACUACACCGAAAAGGCAGAAUAUUAUACAACUACGUAUACUACCCCAGCUUACUACACCGAGGAACCCAAGCAUUUCUCUGCUCCGAGCUACAACAGAGGCUCCUGUUUACUACACCACCAUCGCCCCCGAGUGUUACGCCGGCGCCAACCGCUACACUGAAGCUCCGAAGUACUACACCAUGGAACUGUAACCAAUUUGCUAGCAAGGUUAUUUGGUGACGUGCUGCUGUUGAAUCUUGUAUCUGUGAUGUAUAUGACUGUUGUAGUGAUGUUUCCUGGGUACUUCCAACUACACUUACACAACCCGUAUGGCCCUAGUAGGACGGACGUAACCCCAGUUUACAACACCGAGGAAUCUAAGCUGAAACAUAGGCUCCUGUUUCCCCAACCGCUACAUUGCAGCUCCGAAGGACAGCAUUGAAGGAAAACCAAUUCGCAUUCAUAGAUUAUUAUGGUGUUGUGCUGUUGUUGGAUGCUGUAUCGUUGAUGGUUGGGUUGACCACGAGUGUAUGACGGUUUAGUGUAUCACAACGCCACCUACCUUGCUACACAACUCAAAUCACCAGUUACUACUCCGGGAUUCUCUAUUAUUACACCGAAAAGGCCGAAAAUUACACAUCCACGUAUGCUACUCCAGUCUACUACACCGAGGAAUUCAAGUGCUACUGUGCUUCGAGAAACGACAAAGGUUGCUGUUUACUAUACCACCAACGUCCCAGAAAAUUUAAGUACAACCUACGCUACCUACAGCUGCACUACAACUAACACCAUCAAGGCACAACCAUUCUGCAAUCAUGAAUUAAGACCUCGAGAUAUUCAAAUACUACUGUGCUCCAAGACACAAGAGAUGUUGCUAUUUACUACAUCACCAACACUGCUUUACAACCUACACUGCACACAACUCAACUGAAGCUUCUAAGUACUAAACCAUCAAAGACACAACCAAUUCGCAAUGAAUAAGUAAAUAAACUGUGAUAAACUGCUGUUUAUUUUUUAUCUUUUAAGUUACUUUUCUUUAAAUGAAUUUUAUAUCAUUCUUCA